Molecule: long non-coding RNA, 816 nt
Organism: Pseudophryne corroboree (corroboree frog)
Lineage: Eukaryota; Metazoa; Chordata; Amphibia; Anura; Myobatrachidae
Exons: 3
Source: RefSeq, a predicted model, not a curated record
UGGAGUAAGCUUUUAUAACUUCCCAAAUAAACAAUGUUCCCUCUUCCAGCAAUGCAGCCAUUCACUUAAGUUCAGCAUAGCAUAUCUCAUGCACCAUAUAAAGAAAAAGAACUCGCUGCCCUUUUCCUUUUUCAGCAAUACAAUGGUCAACCAGAUUCAGCAACACAUGAAUGAGGCACCACAGUAAGGCACAGUACAAAGGCAGCAAACUGAAGAGGAAGAUAAUCAAGCCUCAACCACCCACCCCCCAUCAAUCCUCCUCCUCCUCCUCCUCCCCCUCUCAACCACCCUCCCCCCAUCAAUCCUCCUCCUCCUCCCCCUCUCAACCACCAUUCCCCCUCAACCACCCUCCCCCAUCAAUCCACCUCCUCCCCCUCUCAACCACCCUCCUUCUCUCAAUCUGACACCAAUCUCAAUCUGCCCCCCUCUCAAUCUGCCCCCCUUCUCAACUACCCUCCCCCUCUCAAGCCCCUUCACCUAUCCUACCUCCCACCCCCUUUCAACACCCUUCCCACAUCCAACCUCCCACCCCCUCUUUGGGAUAUGAAACUGAGGAAGAGGGCGAGUGGGCCACUAUGGCCCCAGAACAUGAUGGCCCAGAAAUGGAGACUUAUCCUGACCAAGGAGCCUGAAAUAUGGCCAUACGGGCAGAAAUAGUGGCCAUGCAAGGCCACAUCCAGGCCCUUCUGGCCACUGUGGAUCGGUUUAUUUGUUUUUUUCAAAUUUUUUAUUUUUAUUUGUAAAAUGUUUGAUAAACCCAAACUAAUUCAAAAACAAAGUUUGUAUUAAAAAUAAAAUGAAAUCAUAAUUUACUAA